UGCAGUCGAGGGGUAACGGGGAAGCUUGCUUCCGCCGACGACCGGCGCACGGGUGCGGAACGCGUAUGGAACCUGCCCCUGUCAGGGGAAUAGCCCAGAGAAAUUUGGAUUAAUGCCCCAUGGUAUCCAUUUACCACAUGGUAUAUGGAUUAAAGAUUUAUCGGACAGGGAUGGCCAUGCGUACCAUUAGUCAGAUGGUGGGGUAACGGCUCACCAUAACUACGAUGGUUAGGGGCCCUGAGAGGGGGAUCCCCCACACUGGUACUGAGACACGGACCAGACUCCUACGGGAGGCAGCAGUGAGGAAUAUUGGACAAUGGGCGGGAGCCUGAUCCAGCCAUGCCGCGUGCAGGAUGACUGCCCUAUGGGUUGUAAACUGCUUUUAUACGGGAAGAAACCCGCCUACGUGUAGGCGGCUGACGGUACCGUAAGAAUAAGGACCGGCUAACUCCGUGCCAGCAGCCGCGGUAAUACGGAGGGUCCGAGCGUUAUCCGGAAUCAUUGGGUUUAAAGGGUCCGUAGGCGGGCCAUUAAGUCAGGGGUGAAAGUCUGCAGCUCAACUGUAGAAUUGCCUUUGAUACUGGUGGUCUUGAGUCGUUGUGGAGUGGCCGGAACAUGUGGUGUAGCGGUGAAAUGCAUAGAUAUCACAUAGAACACCGAUCGCGAAGGCAGGUCACUAACAACGUACUGACGCUGAUGGACGAAAGCGUGGGUAGCGAACGG
This 723-nucleotide ribosomal RNA is filed under the name Flavobacteriaceae bacterium AU507_Ted1_MB20NH4. RNAcentral describes it as "bacterial SSU rRNA". It matches the Rfam family "Bacterial small subunit ribosomal RNA", at positions 56 to 775 of the family's 1533-position model. Lineage: Bacteria; Pseudomonadati; Bacteroidota; Flavobacteriia; Flavobacteriales; Flavobacteriaceae. The record is from RNAcentral.